UUAAAAUCUGGUAACUUGAAUGUGUUAUUGGAAAACUUUCAAGUAUGGUUCAGAACAACUUGAGUAUGUGAAUCUACAUUUUCAACUCUAAAUUUUAUGAAACCUGAAUACAUAUUCAUUAUUUCUGCUGAACGUUUAUAGUUCAAAAUCAAGCUAGGCUGUGAGUGUAAAACACACAAUAGAUUUUUCAAGGCCUAGCACAAAAAAAUCGUAAAAUACUUCUUGAAAAAAAUUUUAAUAGAAAUCCCAUGUUGGAGUACUAUUUUGGAUUAAAUAAAAUACAUUGGUAAAAUUUCAUCUGUUUCUUUUUAACUUUUUUUUAAAUGUGGCUAUAAGAAAAUAUAAAAUGAUGUAUGCAGAUUAUAUAUUUCUGUUGGACAGUGCUGCUCUAGAACUCAAGGCACCCCCGUGACUGAGAUGACUUAUCUGUUAUUUGUAUAUCGAUUUGUUAGGGAAAGGGACUGAAUUACUCCCUGGAAAUGUGGCUGGAAUUCAUCUGACAUGUUAAAGAGGCCCGGUAACUCUGAUUCUCCUGGGCCAUCCAGUUUAAAUCAGACAUUGUCUUUACACUGUGAGAAAUUAAAAAAAAAAUUUUUUUUUUAACAGUUAUUCAUUUUGAGAGAACGACAGAGUGCGAGCAGGGUUAGGGUCAAAGAGAGAGGGAGACACGGAAUCCGAAGCAGGCUCCAGGAUCUGAGCUUUCAGCACAGAGCCUGACGCAAGGCUUGAACUCGUGAACUACAAGAUCAUUCAACCUGAGCCGAAGUCAGACACUUAACUGACUCAGCCACCGAGGGUCCCCUAUGCUAUGAGGAAUUUUUUUGCUGAAUCCAUGACACGAAUGAGAGACAAGAAUAUAAGCUAAGAAAUAUAUUUCACAAUGGAGGCAAAGAUGGUUAUCAGUCGAUCUCACUGUUUCCUAGGAGAAAUUUUGUUGGGAGAAUUUAGAUCUCCAUAUUCAUUGCUAUUUAGGACAGUUUGUGUUUCGGGCAGUUUUGUAGUUGGGCCUGAGAUUGAUCAGGCCUCCAGGGAAUCUCAGAAUUCUGGGUGUAAAAAGCCUUUCUUUGUUGAAAAGAAAAAGAGGCUCAGGACAUUUUUAUAAAUGCUGACAUUAAGUAACCACAAAUUAUAUGCAAAUAGAAUUCCUCCGGGCAUGCAAUAUUGACUACAGUUAAAACAACUUUGGUAAUAUCACUACCUUAAUUGGUACUUGCAAGGGUCAAACUGAGGUACUUAUGAAUAAGAACACAGCUGGGGUGAACUUCUAAAACUUUCUGCAGUAAUCAACAAAAAUUCUUCUUUUGUCCCAUCUGGCACAGAGCCCUACAUGGGGUGGGAACUGGAGGGAUAAGGGGUAAGGGGUGAGUGGCCAGGGGUAGGCUCUACUCUCUGCUUGAGUUUUUAAUACUGUCACUGGCAAAUCAGUCACGAAUGGGAAAAGCUCUGUUCUUAUGGUCUAAGUGGAAGCACAAUAAAUAUAAGCCAGAGGGAAAAUUUAGAGGAAAGGAAAUUAUCACACUUAGAAGUAGGCUAGGUGUUCCCUGACAUCACUAAUCAUCCAUUUGGCCUCCUUAUUCUUUUCAUGAAAAGAAACUGUGAAUAAGAGCGAACUAGGACUUGACCAUCAGACUGAGGGAAGAGCCACUUAUGAUGAAUGGUAGCUCUCUGCAGAAAGUGCUUUAUGUUACAAUUUUAAACUUACUUCGCUGAGGAUUUCUAGCACACAACAUACGUUUUAUCCGUGUGCUUCAGCCUUUUUUGCUCCUCAAUUCACCUGGCCCUUUGGGGGUAACAGAGGUCACUCUGGGAAAUAGAUUAUUGACUCGUACUAAAAUAUUACUACCAGAAAUGGGCAGACUGGGUCGGUUCCAGUGAGAUAAAAUUGGUGUGAAUCCUCGUCACUAGGAAGAGUUUUCACAAACACAAAAUUUAAACCAUGUUAAUGGGUUCCCCCAACGCUAACAAACAAAUGCAUUCAGCAAAGCAAUUGUUUUCUUCGAUCCACCAUACUUCUUUGCAAGCUAUGACCUUUCUUUCUUCUGGAUAAUAGGUAAGUCUACCAACAAAGGCACUGUGUAUCCUUCAGGAGUCAGAGGCCUGGAAAGGCUGGCCGGGGCAUUGGCAUUUAGCUGUAGACAAUGCAAAGUUUUGGCAGAGGAAGAAGAACUGGGAACUGAUUCUGUGGCCCCAUGUCCUGACGCUUAGCUCCUUCCGCGUGGGGUAGUUUUCAACUGUGCACAUACCUUUGUAGCCUCACUCAGGAACAGUGAGUCUGCGAACAUCUCCUGGUCUCCAAAAUGAAGUGUGUGCAACUCUGGGCAUACAAGAGGAAAAUGUGGGUUUCCUUUCUAUUUUUAUCUCAUCCCUUUUUAUCUAUUUUUUUUUUUUUUUUGCAUAUGUCUUAUACCAUACCUAACAUAGUAGUAAAGAUUUACAAGCCCUUCUCCAUGCUUAUGAUGUCCUAAAAGCUCUGAAAUCCAGAAGUUAUUUUGUAAUUCAUUUGGUGACUCAGCCUGGACCGACCUGAAUUGAUAUGUGGCUAUUUAUAGCUUUUAUUUAGCACAAUGAGUGUGAGUCAUCUGAAAAAUCAGACAUUCUCUGCUGAAGUCUUGAUGUGCUCUCUUGCGGGGCGUGCCCUAGACCCUCCAUCGGGAGCGUUGCAUAACGUAUGGUGUGUGUACUUUGUUACCUUGCCAAGAUCGCAACAGUUCAGAGUCACAGUUCGUUCUGAGGAUUUUGGAUUUUCAACUUGGGUGGAGUUGGUUCAGCAUUUGGGGCAACUGGCCAGAGAGUUAGAGGAUCUGCUUUCAAGAUGGCUUGCUCAGAUGUUUUGUGAGUUGGUACUAGCUGUCAUCUAGGAACUCAACUGGGACUGCAUGGGCUUCUCCACGUGGGCUUCCCCAUAGCCUGUUUAGAUUACCUUCCAGCAUGGUAGCUGGGUUCCAGGAGCAAGUGUCCUGACAGAAUAAGGCAGAAGUACAUUGCAUUUAACAAUUCUGGCCUUAGAAAUCACAUAGCAUCACUUCUGCCGUGCUCUUGGUCAUGACCAGUCAUGAAGGUCUGCUUAGGUUCCAGCAGUUUGCUUUGGUUCCCUUGAAGGGAGCAUCAGGGUCGGAGUGUCAAAAGGGCUUGUGGAAUGAGAGAUAUGGUCGGUCAUCUUUGGAUGAUACAAUUUGCCACAGAAAUCACUGGCUCAGUCUCUUUGUAUAACAUAUAUUGUUUUGAAUGUGAUUUAAUUUGAGAGAUAGAAGUGAAUGGAAAAUCAAAUAGGAUUCUGAUAAUUCAUCUGUAGUUAUUCUUUCAAAGAAAAUGUUUUUAAUUUAUUUUAUUUUAGAGAGAGGGAGUGCACACAAGUGGGGAAGGGGCAGAGAGAGGGAGAGAGAGACUUUUAAGCAGGCUACAUGCUUGGCACAGAGCCUGACACGGAGCUCAAUCCCAUCACCCUGGAAUCAUGACGUGAGCUGAAAUCAAGGGUCUGAUGCUCAACUAACUAAGCCACCCAGGAGCCCCUGUAGUCAUUCUUUAAAUAUGCUUAAAGUUGCAUUUUAUUUCAGAAGGAUAUAAACAAAGAUCAUUUUUAAUGAGAUAAUGAGCACGAAAGCACUUUGAAAUCUAUAAACCUGUAACGCAAGACACAAUGGGAAAUAAAAACCAUGGAUUAAAAAAUAAUAAUAACAAAUAAUAAUUAUUUAGUCAAUAUCUGACUCACCAUUCUUUGAAAAUCAGUUAAGUUCUGAUGAAAAGGGGCCUCCUUGUUUCAGAAAAUUCUGCCUAUUUGGUCAGUUUUCAUUGCUGCUGUUGGAUAUUGUUUCAGUAGAAACAGUGUCAUUUGCUGGGUAAUCAUGUUCGAUGUUUGCUGAAAGCUGAGGUUGUUGUGUUGUGGAAUUAUGUAUAUGGGAACCUUUAAGUCUUUCCUUCAUUCAGUGACUACUUGAAGAUUUUUUCUUAGAGUUACUUUCACUGUACACAAUUAUGCAAGUAUACACUUCAUUUAACGGAAGUAAGACAUUUCUCUGGCAUCUUUUCUUUUGAACUAUGGAAUAGGGUUCCUUUGUUUAGUUGGUAAUCAUGGAAAGAAUUAGGAGGUAGAGGCAAUUUUUAGAAGCUAUUGGAAGGUUUAUCUUGCUCUUGGUGCAUAAUUAAUCCAUAAGUGGAAUUUAGAAUGUUUGGUAUAAAUUGUUCAAUAGAACAUAGCGAUGUCUGUCCAAAAAAGAACAUAUUUAGCCAUUUAUUAAUGUAUUUUUAACAACA
Molecule: long non-coding RNA, 4251 nt
Organism: Neofelis nebulosa (Clouded leopard)
Lineage: Eukaryota; Metazoa; Chordata; Mammalia; Carnivora; Felidae
Exons: 2
Source: RefSeq, a predicted model, not a curated record